GGGAAGUGGAGGGUGGAGCGGGUGCAUGGGAAUGGCUCGUUCUCGUCCUCCACCGCCCAGCAGAUCUGGCAUAUCACCAACGUUAUGGCGGUAAUUGAUUCUCCCUGUGCCAUUAGUCUCCGAGACAAAGACGCGCCAACGAGAGGGGGUUCUGUCACUUAGAGACUGGCAUGGCGCCCGGCCGCACACUCGUACCAACACACAAAUAGACACACGCAAAGAUGUACUCGACUUACGGCGCGCACACACGCGCGUUCCUCAACGCAUCGUUGGUAUUACGUCGGCUGUCAAGGUCUGCAGAAGCAAAAGCUUUGCUCAAACAUCUCAAACAUUGUUAACGCUGAAAUCUACACACCAAAAAACAAAAAUCCAAAUCAAAGGGAAUACAAAUGAGUGGUGAUUUGGAUUUGAUAUUCCUCUCUGAUACUGUUGUGUUUGUGGGGUUACUGAGGUCGUGGCAGAACAGAAUUCCUCCAAGAGACACACACACACACACACACAGAGUUAACCCACACGCACACUUGAAUAUGAAAAGAGAUGCUCCCCAGACAAAGAGCGCCGCAUGUCUUUAUCUUAUUAAAGUUAACGAGAGGCUGCUGUCUUCUGCCUGCAGACCAGCCCGUUGCCCCCACCCUGCCGCAGCGCCUCCAGGCCCUCUGUCGUCACAACGGUAAUGUUGCCCCCCCCUCUUUCCCCCCCCCCUGGACGUCACAACGGCCAUUGAUGGAAAACAUGACGGUGCCCGCGUCAACGUCCUCGCAGUUGUCACACGAGUGCCAAACGUUGCACGCCGUCGCCAUGGCAAUUGUGUUUUGUCGUCCUCUCUGACGCCGCUGCUCAUCACCAUGGCCACGGCUGCAGCACCUGCGAUACACUGAGGAAAAUAGUGGGAACAAAAGAAGGUAACACCUAGAACACAAAACACACACACACAAUAAGGAGUGCAUCCAUUGAAUGCCAAUUAACCACAUGGAGGAUAAGCGAUCGGAGACAACAGCCCCUAACAGCUAAUUAAAGACACGACAGCAUACAAUCCAGGAUCACUCAGAUCCGCUCGCCCGCUGCAAGAUCAGUGUUCUACUGAAAGUCAAAAGGUGAGCUCUGCCUUUCAGCGUCCGCGCUAGAAGAAGGGCCGUAGACCGGUGGCGGCCCUCCAUCACUCCAGCGAACCGCGCUGCCGUGCCGUAUCUCGCUUUUCGAGGCCCGCUCCGACUUGGAUGCUCAUUUGGAGUCUGUAAUUAAUUGGAGCCCCUAUCUUUUUUUUUCAUCUAUUUUUGUUUGGCUGUUGACCGACGUGUGGUCCUCUCACGCGCUCGUCUUCAGGUCGACGCGGCUCCCUAAUUAAGACUCCAGAGGACGGCUAAUUGCUGCUGCGUGCCUCUCGGCGGAGCAAGGGAGCCUUCUCCCGGCGCUGCCCAGAAAGAGCGCCCGAGUUCAGAGUUAAAAGGGCUUACGUAAGCUUGCGGUGAAACUAUUAAACGCCAACCAACUUUUCCUCGUGAGGAACUGCCACUUGAUUUAAUGGGCCUCAUUAAAAGUGCACAUCACAGAGAUCCGAGCCGCCCGCUCCAGCUUCACACGACAAUGGCAUAAUGGUUCUGCCUCCAUGCUGUCAAAGCCUAAUCCUAAAUACUCAACGGUGCUAUUGCUCCUGCAGGACGAUCCAAAAUGGGCUGCGGCGUUCUGGAAAACGGAGGAUUCACAUCAUUUGUCUUUUUUUUUUGACAAGGGGCAGAGAGGAGGAAGUGAAGGAAUGUGAGCGGCGAACAGCUCGGCGUCGUUUAUCGGAGGAGUCAGAUGGAGGAAUCUAGAGCUGAGCGAGAAUACAUCCGGCAUAGAGCUGAAAUACGGUUUUCAUUGCAGUCCUUGAAACGUUUGAAUGAGCCCCUUCCGACGGGGCGAGAUCACAUACGUGUUUGCGUUGUUUAUCAGGAGACUGGCGUGGUUGAGAUCUGAUUAAAUGUCACAAAGUAAAUCCUCACAUCCAUCAAAAGAUCCACGUGUCCAUUUUAACAAUCUUCUACGAUUGCGCUGUGCGUGUUUCUUAGACAAUAUGACUUUAAGAUACUAUGUAAAAAAAAAAAAACGACGUCAUCUUGUGGUUGUAUCGUCUAUCGUGGUUUUAGGGUUAGGGUUAGGGUUUUGGCCACUGCUUUUAUUAACCACCAACCACCAAACAUUUGACGAACAUGCAGCUACAUAGUGAACAAAAUAAAGCUUUCACCAGUUAGUCAAUUCCGACUCAAGUGGUCUCAUCGCACAGCGGUUUCUACCUAAAGUAUGCAAACUUUAGUCACAUAUUGGAAAGUAAGCAACAAACUCUUGAAUGCACAGGAUUGGGCAAGAGUUUAUUUAUCUCAUGUUUAAUUGAGAAAUAUCCACUUAAAAUCAGUCUUUGAAAGGGACAGCGCUUUUAGGUUUUGGUAGCAUAGCAACCACGUGAUUUGCCCCCUCGGCUUAACCCCCCCAUCAGCCGCUGAGUACAAAACCCUGGCGUCCUGUUUGCUUUGCUCAGAGGCUGUUGACUUUAAUAAUACCAUUUUAAGGGCAACAAAGGUCAGGCGGCUCACCUGGUAUCACAAGUCGGUACGAGCACUACGGAGGUCCUCAGCUCACGUAGGAACAUGGAAGGUCCCCAUGGAGCCGGUGUGGGGAGACACUUACUUAAGAGACACAAUUAAGGGAUGAGUAGAGCAAAGACCACCACCACCACCACCACAAUGGACCCCUCAGCAGAUUUACCCCCGGAACAUCCCUUCCCUUCAAACACAUGACUUGUGCUUCUCAUGGAGGCAAAAAAAAAGCUGUAAGAGAAGAAAGCGACAGAAAAAAAACAACAAAAACAAAAAUCAGGAAGAAGCUGGAAAUGAGUCCAACUCAUGCAUAACUUCAAACACUCCAUCUUCAAAGUUGCAUAACAUUAAAAACCGAGUCCUCCACAUCAAAAACCAGCCGGCAUCGAGGGGACACUGCCGAGCUGUGGCCUCGCUCUGAGGCACCACAUGCACCCAGCCUCCUCUUCAUCUUCAUCCUUUGUCGUCCCUGGCUGUUGUCCUCGGGGUAUUUAUUGUGGGGGAAUAGAGCAUUGUGGGUAAGAGGAGGGGCCAGGUGUUAAUGCACAUAGUGACUUUCCGCCCUGAGAGGAAGCAGACACAACGCAGGGAUCCUCGGGAGUCCUUUUAGAUGUGGACCGUACAGGUGCACCUGGACCGUAUAGGUACACCAGGUGCAUAUGAACCGUACAGGUACACCAGGUGCAUAUGGACCGUACAGGUACACCAGGUGCAUAUGGACCGUACAGGUACAUAUGGGCCGCGGGCCUGUUGGUCAAUAUAAGAUGCAACGAAUAACAUUACCGCUUUUACCAUUGUUGUUAUUCUACUGUAUCCAACGAUGUCAUUCAUACGCAUUGAACGUGCUGUGUGAUCAUUCUAAUGCACGUGUGUCCGUCCUCGGGGAGGGAUCCCUGCCCUGUGGCUCUCCCUGUGGUUUCUUCCUCUCUUUUUUCCCUCGCUGGUAGUUUUUCCUGUGAUGGAAGGAGUCCAAGGACAGAGAAUGUUGCGUGUGACCAGAUUUGUAAAGCCCGUUGAGGAUCAUUUGUGAAUCAGGAUCUUGGGCUAUGCAAAAUAAAUCCAAUUAAAUUAUUUCCAUCAUGUUACAUUUUAGGUCACAUCUAUUUGUGUGUAGAAAUCUAUUAUGUCGAUAAUAAAGAGUAUAGAUCAGUGAAUCCCAACUGUUUGGUCUGAUGUACCCAACAGCCUUGCGAGAUGAAAACCAGUACGUGUUGUAUACAUACAUGCAUAUGCCAUACGUAAGCCUCCGCUGCAUACAUAUAGUAACCCAUCUAUUAUUUAUUCCAGCUGCUUUUGCUCAAUUUUAUUAUUCCUGGUUACAUCAGUUUAAAUUGUUUGUGUUAAAUUUGGACGAUGUACGAAUGUACAUAAGCGUUUAUUAUAGUUAUGUGUUACAUAGUUAUAAGCUCUGUUGUCCUUUCUCAGUGUAUGUCAUUGAAAUGUGUGCAAGUCUACAAAGAGGAACUAAUAUAUAAACACAAAUAUUACCAAUACAGCUUACUCAGCAGGAAUAUUUUGUGAUCAGGUUGUCAUCGAGAAAAGACGAGGGAACUUAAACCAGAAACCGAGCCGUGGUUAAAAAGAAAACACACACACACACACGUCGGUAAUUUUCCGUCUUGGCUUUUCCCCUUCUUUGUCACUUUCAAAUGCUCCUGACAAAUUCUCCAAUACACUGACAAACACAUACAAAAUCCCGCCCACGCGUUUAAACAGAAAAAAAGCUCUCGACGAGCGUACCUUUCCUCCCACAUAUGUUGACAUACGCUCAUGAACAAACUGGUAAUGUUCCAUCAAAGCUUAUAGCGCCCAUUAAAACUCAGAGACAAACAUGGAGGCACGCGCGUGGUUAACGCCCACGCGCUCUUCAGCGGCGUGCCUUUCCGUCACCACAAUUGCCGGUGACAAUCAUGUACCCCCUCAAUUACACCUGGCUAAUUGUUGAGAUGACACAUUACCAUAGAGACUCACAAAGACAGGUCACACACAAUAUAUAUAAAUACAUUCAUUAUUUCAGGGGAAACGUAUAGAACCACAGCUUUAUCUCAUAAUCAGAUAAUGAAUUAUUUAAGCUUCCCUAAGCAGGCUGCGUGAACCGAUGGAGAUAAAGUAGAAGUUAUCUUUUUUUUUUUUCUUUUUUUUUUACCUCAAACAUACACACACAUCUUGUGCACGGUACACAGCACACACUUUGCCUGAAGGAUUUUAAUUUGAGAUGCAGACUCCGGUGUCAUAGUGAAUGAUAUUAAAAGUCGUACCAUGAAUAAAUCAGGAGACAGAGGACUCACCUCAGCAAUGCGACGGAUAAGCAAAGAGAAACCGCACGCCGGAGGAGAGGGAGUGGUAGGGGUGGGGGGGGGGGGAGGGUCCAACGCUGACAGAGGAAAGGGCAAUAAAUAAAGACACUCGCAUUUUUAACAAUACACACUGCGCCGCUGUUCGGCGUAGGCCAUUAGUUUAUGGCACUUCUUAACAAGGCCGUAAUUACUUUACUGCUGGAUCCACGACGUACCUUCAUCCGUCUUCUGAUCGCUCAACAAUGCUGUUUCGCGGCGGUUUCCCCCGCAGGAGUUCGCGUUCACAACGGAGGCCCUCAUUUGUGACAAAUCACUCCGGCGCAAAACACAGAUUGAAAUUGACAAUUCGUCAAUUCGCCGUGUGGUUUGUGACAUGAGAAAGGAAAAAGCACAGCAGUGGCGGGACGUGCAUCCAGAAAUACUGAAGGGCCGAAAAUUCAUUCACUGAAAAAUCUCACUUGUUGGUGAACGACUCCAGAACCACAGCUGGCGGACGGGAGAGCAACGCGUCGGACUUUCAUGCAGGUGCUAUCCAGGUCAAUCAAGCGGAAAAGCAGCUAGCCUAGCAUCGCCGUACCAGGAGAAUAUUUCAGCAAUUUAAUAACGUCUUAAUAAAGACAUGGUGUGUUUUGCCUCGUUGCGUUCUGUAUAAGGCUCAUUUAAAACACGUUUGUCUUUAUGUGCACAUGUAGUGAAAUUCAGUUUUGGUUUCCAAUAUUUAAACUAUAAAGAAUAAAAAACACAAAGGAAAAGCAAUCGGAUCUCUGUUACUUUCACCACAAAUGUCACAUAUUUGUUGAAAGCAUAGUUGUGCAUUUUAAGUUCAUUUGUAUUAUUUCCAAGGGUUUGGUGAUCAGCACCGUGAGCAAGUCUGCAUGUUAAGUACAGAGCUUGGAGGUGAUUAGCCCACCUUAGUGAAGAAAAGCACCGAGUGCAGGGAGAGAAAGCUAAUUAGCUUUGUCCGGAUUUAGUCUCAUUCUCUACACAGAUGUGAGAUGUCGAUCUUUCCAUUUUCAAGCUACCGACACAAAGUAUGAAAUCUUAUUUGCCAAAACUAAUCAUUUAAAGCAGUAGCCAUCCUUCUAUUGGGCAGAAAAAAUAAAUCCCGGUACUUAAACAUUUCUGUUUUGAUUUGUUUGUGUUAUCAUGGUUCAAACUAUUUAUUUUAGUCCACUUUGGGGCAGUGAAAUAAAGUUGUAAAGACACAAUUGCUUUAGCUGCUGUGGCAGACUUAUUAGCAAAAAAAUCCUUUUAGCUCAUCGUCCACCGGCUCUAGAGGAAUAAUAUAUCUGGCCAUUUAGCCUCUAAAUGUGUCGGCCUGCAGAUUACACAUCUAAAGUUUAUAGUGGGUUGGUAGCUUUCCUCUGAAAAAUCAGUAACUGUAGACUUUGGUCUUUCAAAAGGUUUCAAAGCUUAACGAUUGGCUGGAAGAUGCAAAGAAGUCCCAACGUUGUCACUAUGUGUGACAUAUUUCACACACACAUCAUAUUUAGUUUGCUUGACAUAUUGAUUAAUGCAGUUUUCAGCCGUCAACCAGGUUGGCUCUUCCCCGUCCACGGCUGCAUGAACAAAAAGGUCUGUAAACCUAAAAUGUCUUUAUUUUACGUUUCCUCCACAGUCAUUCUUUUGUAUAUAUAUAUUAAAUAAAUUACCCAUUUGUUUCCCAUGAAUAGAUGAUCCUAACACGGCCUCAGGGACUCGCGGCCUCGGGAUGAAUCGAGUCCAAUGAUGCUCUGAACAUCCCCCACCCAUGAGACCCACCCAGAGCCAUUCAUGGGGGUCGGGGGGGACAAAUGAACACAGACAAAAGAGGGGAAAAUCAGCCCGCUUAUAUAUCUGUGGGUGGGAGGCCGCCCGGAUCUUGCAGCUUGGCCGAGAGGAGGGUCCACCACCGCAACCAGAGUCCCGUGUGUGUGUGUGUGUGUGUGUGUGUGUACAUGAAUAUGCAUGUUUGUGUAUGCGUCUGUGCUGCGGUUGCCUCUGAGGGGAGACGGCGGUGCUGUCGGCAGGUUAAUCCAGCCCUCAGGCUAAGCAUCAAAAUUUCAGAUCAGGGAAUCAAUAAUUCAGACAGCAGCUUGUCAGGAUCUAUCACGGAACACAGACUGAGAGGCAGCGAAGGCGCAGAGGUGAUUUACAGCCUCACACAGCCGACACACACGGGUGGAAAAAAAAACGGGAAAAAAUGGUGGACGCAGACUCGCCGCGUAAUUGCGCGCUCAAAUCGCGGCCAGGGAUACAGGCGCGGCACGCUCGGAGGGAAACAUGCGCGUACAC
Long non-coding RNA from Gasterosteus aculeatus aculeatus (three-spined stickleback), 7144 nucleotides. The record is from Ensembl. NCBI's taxonomy places the organism in Eukaryota, Metazoa, Chordata, Actinopteri, Perciformes, Gasterosteidae.